UCAAACUGACUCUUUCAGGGACAGCAGGACCUGCAGCCUAUUGCUGAAGAACCUAAGGAAUUCCUUUCAGAAAUGUCCGCUCAGGUCAUCCUGUGCCCUUGGAGGACUGGACACUUGCCCAGAGCUCCAUCUGCUCUGUAGUGUUCCCCACUAUUCUCAGCAUCAGUAGCAUCUCUACCAUCAGCACCACUACUGUCAUCCCGAAGUCUCUGCCUGGAAGGCACAAGGGUCAUUUUGGAUACUGUCUUCAUCUUCUACAUCAUCAUCUGCAAUGAUCUCUUCAAGAGCUUUACGCAAGAAAACCUCCUCUUCCCUGUGACAGGAGAGGACAAGUGAGUGAGAAAGACAGUUUGUAAGCUCACCAGGUGUCCAUGUACAGGAAGAAGAACAACCUGUGGGACAGAAUGGGAACAGGUGCUGUGAACAGGGAUCAGGUGAUCCGCAAAUCAUUCAAUUAUUACUACCACGGCCCCAGAGAACUUGACCUCUCUCCAGCCAAGGUGGAGGACUCCUGUCCUGUUGGGGACAAUGGAGAAGGUGUCAUCUGAGGACACAGCUGUGGAGAAACAACAGACUCUAAACACAGAAUGAGAGAUGGCGAGGAAUGUUCUGGUAUUCACUUGGGUGUGGGAACCAGCACUGCCUUGUGCCAAAUACUGGGUCUUCAUCUUAGUAAGUUCGUGGAGUCCUUUGUGAUUCCCAGGGACCACACCCUCCUUGCUUCUGUGAUUUCCUUGUCCUAUCAGGACCUGGAGUCCUACCUGGCCCUGGUCCUGCUGUGUGCUGCCUUUGACAUCUGCUCUUCUCCCUGACUCCUGGACCUUGUGCUGUUCCUAAUCAUUAUAAAGGGGAUUUAUAGAAUGACUCACAGGCUGUGGUUCAGCUAGUCCAACAAUGGCUGCCUAUGAAUAGAAGGUUGAAGACUCCAGUAGCUGCUCAGUCCACAAGGCUGGAUGUCUCAGCUGCUCUUCAGUACAGG
Peromyscus maniculatus bairdii (prairie deer mouse) is the source of this 979-nucleotide non-coding RNA. The record is from RefSeq and is a predicted model, not a curated record. NCBI's taxonomy places the organism in Eukaryota, Metazoa, Chordata, Mammalia, Rodentia, Cricetidae.